AACGAACGCUGGCGGCAGGCCUAACACAUGCAAGUCGAGCGAACCCUUCGGGGUUAGCGGCGGACGGGUUAGUAACGCGUGGGAAUAUACCCUUUGGUACGGAAUAGCCUCGGGAAACUGAGAGUAAUACCGUAUGUGCCCUUCGGGGGAAAGAUUUAUCGCCAAAGGAUUAGCCCGCGUUGGAUUAGAUAGUUGGUGGGGUAAUGGCCUACCAAGUCUACGAUCCAUAGCUGGUUUGAGAGGAUGAUCAGCAACACUGGGACUGAGACACGGCCCAGACUCCUACGGGAGGCAGCAGUGGGGAAUCUUAGACAAUGGGCGCAAGCCUGAUCUAGCCAUGCCGCGUGGACGACGAAGGCCUUAGGGUUGUAAAGUCCUUUCAGAUGGGAAGAUAAUGACGGUACCAUCAGAAGAAGCCCCGGCUAACUCCGUGCCAGCAGCCGCGGUAAAGUAG
RNAcentral lists this ribosomal RNA (454 nucleotides) under uncultured bacterium. RNAcentral's name for it is "bacterial SSU rRNA". It matches the Rfam family "Bacterial small subunit ribosomal RNA", at positions 29 to 528 of the family's 1533-position model. The record is from RNAcentral.